This 406-nucleotide ribosomal RNA is filed under the name uncultured bacterium. Its description in RNAcentral is "partial 16S ribosomal RNA". It matches the Rfam family "Bacterial small subunit ribosomal RNA", at positions 29 to 526 of the family's 1533-position model. The record is from RNAcentral.
AUUGAACGCUGGCGGCAGGCUUAACACAUGCAAGUCGAGCGAGCGGCGGACGGGUGAGUAAUGUCUGGGAAACUGCCUGAUGGAGGGGGCUAACUACUGGAAACGGUAGCUAAUACCGCAUACCAUCAGAUGUGCCCAGAUGGGAUUAGCUAGUAGGUGGGGUAAUGGCUCACCUAGGCGACGAUCCCUAGCUGGUCUGAGAGGAGGACCAGCGAAACUGGAACUGAGAGACGGCCCAGACUCCGACGGGAGGCAGCAGUGGGGGAUAUUGCACAAUGGGCGAAAGCCUGAUGCAGCGACGCCGCGUGGGGGAGGAAGGCUGUCGGGUUGUAAACCUGUUUCGCGAGCGAACGGGUAGGUGGAGAAGAAGCGCCGGCUAACUACGUGCCAGCAGCCGCGGUAAUUC